RNAcentral lists this ribosomal RNA (3910 nucleotides) under Candidatus Omnitrophota bacterium. Its description in RNAcentral is "Candidatus Omnitrophica bacterium 23S ribosomal RNA". It matches the Rfam family "Bacterial large subunit ribosomal RNA". The record is from RNAcentral. Lineage: Bacteria; Pseudomonadati; Candidatus Omnitrophota.
GGUCAAGCUACAAAGGGUUCAUGGUGAAUGACUUGGUCAAACAGCGCGAUGAAGGACGUGGUAAGCAGCGAUAUGCUUCGGGUAGCCGCAAACAGGCUUUGAUCCGGAGAUUUCCGAAUGGGGGAACCCGGUCCCGUUAAUACGGGAUCAUCAUGUGAUGAAUACAUAGUUACAUGGAGCAAUACUGGGUGAAGUAAACCAUUUCAGUAGCCCAAGGAAAAGAAAGAGAAAUCGAUUUCCCCAGUAGCGGCGAGCGAAAAGGAAACAGCCUAAAUCCUGAUGGCGUGAUAGUCUGUAUGCGUUUUCAUCAGGUGGUUGCGGGGUUUAGUUGGAGGUAGAUACAGAUACCUCGUCUCAGAUGAUUGUAAUAAUCGAAUGACAUGGAAAGGUCAGCCAUAGAAGGUGAAAGCCCUUUAGGUGAAAUUAUAGUCAUUUUAGAUGGACUGAAUACCCAAGUAUCACGGGACACGUGAAAUCCUGUGAGAAUCUGCUCCGACCACGGAGUAAGGCUAAAUACUAGUUUGGACCGAUAGUGUACAAGUACCGUGAGGGAAAGUUGAAAAGAACCCUUUUUAAGGGAGUGAAAUAGAACCUGAAACCAUGAACUUACAAGCGGUCGAAGUCCCGACUCGUUCGGGAUGACGGCGUACCUUUUGCAUAAUGGACCGACAAGUUACUGUGCAGUGCAAGCUUAAUCCGUUUUCACGGAGGAGGCGUAGCGAAAGCGAGUCUUAAUUGGGCGUCUUAGUACUGCAUAGUAGACCCGAAGCUGAGUGAUCUACCCAUGGUCAGGGUGAAGUCUCGAGAAAUCGAGAUGGAGGCCCGAACUCGUGGACGUUGAAAAGUCUUGGGAUGAACUGUGGGUUGGAGUGAAAGGCUAAUCAAACUCAGUGAUAGCUGGUUCUCCCCGAAAUAGCUUUAGGGCUAGCCUUAUAAAAUGGAUAAUGGUGGUAGAGUACUGAAUGGGCUAGGGACGAUAACCUCGUUGCCAAACCCAACCAAACUGCGAAUACCAUUACACCUUAUUAUAGGAGUCAGACUUGAGGGGAUAAGCUCUCUAGUCGAAAGGGAAACAGCCCAGAUCGCCGGUUAAGGUCCCUAAGGAUAAGCUAAGUGGUAAAGGAUGUGAAAUCGCUCUGACAACCAGGAUGUUGGCUCAGAGGCAGCCAUCAUUUAAAGAGUGCGUAACAGCUCACUGGUCGAUGCGAUUUUGCGCCUAAAAUGAUCGGGGCUUAAGCUUAUUACCGAAACCGCGAAUCUUUGUCAUCUUUGGAUGACGGGGGUGGUAGGGGAGCAUUCCGUUAUAGGUUGAAGGUCUUUCGUAAGGAAGGCUCGACUUUUCGGAAGAGACAAUGUCGGUAUGAGUAGCGAAAAUGUCCGCGAGAAACGGACACGCCGAAAAUCCAAGGUUUCCUGGGGAAGGUUAAUCCGCCCAGGGUUAGUCGAUCCUAAGCCGAGGCAAUAAUAGCGUAGGCGAUGGAUAAUCCGUUAAUAUUCGGAUACCAGGUAAGUGGUGCUUUACUUAAGAUGUGACACAGACAGCUAGGUUGUGCCCAGUGUUGGAUGUCUGGGUUUAAGCCUGCAGGCCCGCAAGGGUUGGCAGGUUAUGGGGACCCUUUUCUACGGAUCAGGGGAAGCAACCGAUGCUUUGCUGUCAAGAAAAACCAUUUUAAGAAAUCAUUUAUCUGUUCGUACCGUAAUCCGACACAGGUAGAUACCCAGAAUAUGGGAAGGCGAUCGAGAUAACUCUCGUUAAGGAACUCGGCAAUCUAGCCCCGUAACUUCGGAAGAAGGGGUGCCCCGCUUUUAGUGGGGUCACAGUAAAGAAGCCCGUGUGACUGUUUAGUAAAAACACAGGUCUCUGCAAAGUCGAAAGACAAAGUAUAGGGACUGAUACCUGCCCGGUGCUGGAAGGUUAAGGGAAGAGAUUAUUCUGAACUUGUUCAGGAGAAGUUUUGAACCGAAGCCCCAGUAAACGGCGGCCGUAAAUACGUAUUACGUUGUGCGUACUGCGCACGGCGUUAAAAAAUGUUGCGGCUUCAGGAAGUAAUUCCUGAAAUAAAUCUGGCUGUAUGCGGGAACAUCCGUGUAUCUCAAAGUACCAAAAGGUAAAAAUCUUUGAGUGCGGAAAAUCCGCAGGGAAGUCGUAAUUGACCCCUCAGAGAUCACACGCCAGCUCCUAAUAAAUGUUAGGAUGAAGAUAUGAUCCACGCCUUAUGGCGACAUAGGGAGAACGUGAACUAUAACGGUCCUAAGGUUGACGUAACAACGCUAGCCUGCUCCGAAAAAUAUCGGAGAAUAAUUACCAACUAUAUGCAGGAAACUCCUCAAAAAGUGUUGAUACUAGCUCGACUAUUGAGUCGGAGCAGUAAAAAUGCAACAUUCAAGGGGAAAAUCCGCAGGGAAGUCUGAAAGGAGAAAAUAUGACCCCUCAGAGACCAAACGUUGGAAAUCGUGGCAGAGUUUCGAGAUUGACUGAUGAAUGGAUUUCGGGUUUUAUCGAUGGGGAAGGAUGUUUCCAUAUCGGAAUCAGUAAACAUAAUGAUUUACGAAUAGGAUAUCAAAUCCUCCCAGAGCUAACCGUAGUUCAACACAAGCGCGAUUUAGAUUUACUUCAUGAAUUGCGUUCAACGAUGAAUUGCGGGGUAGUGCGAAGAAACCACGGAGAUCGAUUCUGUUGGAGAGUAAGAAAUUUGCAAAAUCUCUCAGAAGUGAUAAUUCCGUUUUUUGAUAAACAUCCGUUAAGAUCAAAAAAAUAUGUAGAUUUUUUGAAAUUCAGAAAAGUGGUUAUGAAGAUGCAAAAAGGGGAACAUCUUACAAAGGAUGGUUUCCAGCAAAUAGUAAAAAUUGCAUCAAAAAUGAAUCGCUGUCAAUCAAAAAUGAAGCCAGAUUUAAGAGAGAGUCCACUCCAGGAUGAAAAUUCUGGGUAAUAGUGAGCGAAAUUCCUUGUGGGGUAAGUUCCCACGCGCACGAAUGGUGUACCAACAUGGGCGCUGUCUCGACGAGAGACUCGGUGAAAUUGUAGUGGCGGUGAAGAUGCCGCCUACCCGCAGCAAGACGAAAAGACCCCGGAACUUUUACUGUAUCCUGGUAUUGAAUUUUGGUCCGAUAUGUGUAGUAUAGGUGGGAGGCUUUGAGGCCCGGCCGCUAGGUUGGGCAGAGCCAUCAGUGAAAUACCACCCUUAUUUUCCUAAAAUUCUAACCCCUUAGCUUUAAUCAGCUAGGGAAACAGUGCCAGGUGGGCAGUUUAACUGGGGCGGUUUCCUCCUAAAAUGUAACGGCGGAGCCCAAAGGUUCCCUCAAGGCGGUCGGCAAUCGCCUGUUGAGUGUAAGGGCAUAAGGGAGCUUAACUGCAAUUCCGACAGGAAGCGCAGGUACGAAAGUAGGGCUUAGUGAUCCGGUGGUAGAAAGUGGGAUUGCCAUCGCUCAACGGAUAAAAAGUACUCCGGGGAUAACAGGCUUAUCGCGCUCGAGAGUUCAUAUCGACAGCGCGGAUUGGCACCUCGAUGUCGGCUCAUCCUAUCCUGGGGCUGUAUAAGGUCCCAAGGGUCCGGCUGUUCGCCGGUUAAAAGGGUACGCGAGCUGGGUUUAGAACGUCGCAAGACAGUUCGGUCUCUAUCUGCUGUGGGCGUAAGGAUACUUGAAGGGAAGCUCUCCCUAGUACGAGAGGACCGGGAGAGACGGACCGCUGGUGUACCAGUUGUCCUGCCAAGGGCAAGUGCUGGGUAGCCAUGUUCGGAAAGGAUAAGCGCUGAAGGCAUCUAAGUGCCAAGCCCCUCUCAAGAAUAGGUAUCCCUUCCCGAGCAAUCGGGAUGAAGGCAGGCUGUAGACUACAGCCUUGAUAGGCUCUGUGUGUAAGAUCUGUAAGGAUUUUAGCUGAAGAGUACUAAUAGCCAAUCGGCUUGACCAC